Molecule: ribosomal RNA, 468 nt
Filed under: uncultured bacterium
Lineage: Bacteria
Description: partial 16S ribosomal RNA
Rfam family: Bacterial small subunit ribosomal RNA
Source: RNAcentral
GACGAACGCUGGCGGCGUGCUUAACACAUGCAAGUCGAACGGAAAGGCCCUGCUUUUGUGGGGUGCUCGAGUGGCGAACGGGUGAGUAACACGUGAGUAACCUGCCCUUGACUUUGGGAUAACUUCAGGAAACUGGGGCUAAUACCGGAUAGGAGCUCCUGCUGCAUGGUGGGGGUUGGAAAGUUUCGGCGGUUGGGGAUGGACUCGCGGCUUAUCAGCUUGUUGGUGGGGUAGUGGCUUACCAAGGCUUUGACGGGUAGCCGGCCUGAGAGGGUGACCGGCCACAUUGGGACUGAGAUACGGCCCAGACUCCUACGGGAGGCAGCAGUGGGGAAUAUUGCGCAAUGGGCGGAAGCCUGAUGCAGCAACGCCGCGUGCGGGAUGACGGCCUUCGGGCUGUAAACCGCUUUCGCCUGUGACGAAGCGUGAGUGACGGUAAUGGGUAAAGAAGCACCGGCUAACUACGUG